This 433-nucleotide ribosomal RNA is filed under the name uncultured bacterium. RNAcentral's name for it is "partial 16S ribosomal RNA". It matches the Rfam family "Bacterial small subunit ribosomal RNA", at positions 29 to 507 of the family's 1533-position model. The record is from RNAcentral.
AACGAACGCUGGCGGCAGGCCUAACACAUGCAAGUCGAGCGGACCUUUCGGGGUCAGCGGCGGACGGGUGAGUAACGCGUGGGAAUAUGCCCUUCUCUACGGAAUAGUCCUGGGAAACUGGGGGUAAUACCGUAUACGCCCUGUGGGGGAAAGAUUUAUCGGGGAAGGAUUAGCCCGCGUUGGAUUAGGUAGUUGGUGGGGUAAUGGCCUACCAAGCCGACGAUCCAUAGCUGGUUUGAGAGGAUGAUCAGCCACACUGGGACUGAGACACGGCCCAGACUCCUACGGGAGGCAGCAGUGGGGAAUCUUAGACAAUGGGGGCAACCCUGAUCUAGCCAUGCCGCGUGAGUGAUGAAGGCCUUAGGGUUGUAAAGCUCUUUCAGCUGGGAAGAUAAUGACGGUACCAGCAGAAGAAGCCCCGGCUAACUCCGUG